UAAACCUGAGUAGCCCGAGCCAAGUGGGACAGUGUAAAAGGUGGUUAGACGGCCUAUUUGUAAGCUAUUAAAAUAAGAAUAGUUAGUUUGGAAAAAAGAAGGACGACCUGAAAGAGUAGGGGUGUAAUCUUAUGUAUUUUUUUGAGGGAAGGGGAGUAUUCUUCUUUAGGCUGAGUCCACGGAACCGGUUAACUGAAGACAUGGAUUAGAUACCCAUUUAUUGCCGACGCAAACUUUGCUUUUGGUGCAGCUGCUUGGGUACUACGAGCGAGUGCUUAAAACUCAAAGAACUUGGCGGCUUGUUAACUACCUAGGGGAAUAUGCGCCUUAAUCCGAUGAUCCCCGUCAUAUCUUACUGAGUCUUGAAAAAGUGCAGCUGGUGUAUUGCCGUUGUCAGCUUGUUGUUCGAGCAGAGAGAAACAGGCUUGAUGGUUUUUACUUGAUAAGUUUCAUAAAAAGCCAUGAAUUCAGGUCGUAAUACUGCCUAUGGCUCAAGGGAGCGGGUGUUACAAUUCGUAUUUAGAAUCACGGAUCUUUAUUGUGAAAUCUUAAAGUGAAGGUGAACUUAGGAGUAAGGAGGGAUUAAUAUGCUUUCCUGAACAUGAAUCUAACUCGUGUACAAACUGCCCGUCGCUCUCGGUGAGAACUGAGAUAAGUCGU
This 660-nucleotide ribosomal RNA is filed under the name Amusium pleuronectes. RNAcentral's name for it is "partial 12S ribosomal RNA". It matches the Rfam family "Bacterial small subunit ribosomal RNA", at positions 522 to 1489 of the family's 1533-position model. Lineage: Eukaryota; Metazoa; Mollusca; Bivalvia; Pectinida; Pectinidae. The record is from RNAcentral.